CCACAGCUUCUCCGGAGCCGCGCUUUAAAACCCUUCGUCUUCCUUCUUCCCUUUCAAGAAAACGUCUGCUCCCAACUCCACCACAUUCCUCGCUCUCUUCCAGUCUUUCCCCUCUCUUCGCUCCCAAUCGCCCUCUGCAAAUCAUUUAACGCCGGAGAUGUUCACCGAGGGGCUGGACGAGACGGCCAUCAGCUGGGUCAAUCAGGGAUCAGAUGUUGCUCAGAAACCUCGAUCUCCUCUGGUAGAGAAAUAUCCCGUGGAACCGGUCCCUGAACAACGACUGCUCUCCAAAUGCAACAACUUUCUGUCGCCGAAAGCAUUGCCCCCCGUAAAAUUCCACUCGAGCUUGCUAACUCCGCACUCGCACUUGUUGUCUGAUUCGGACGAAGAUGAGAGUGUCGCUUCUGUUCCAGAGGACUACUACGCCAAUUACUCCGACAGCGACUCCGAUCUCUUUGGGAAGCCAGGUAAGAGGAGUUGCGAGGAGGAGAUAUUGUCAGGUGAAAGUUCUUGCUACGAGCCAGUCAGAGAAACAGAUGGCAGACAGCGAUCUACUUUAGUUCGAGGGCUUUCCAAGGAGAACCUAAGAGUAGAUGUAGCAGCAAACAAUUCUUGUAGAGGUGAUGAGGUGAAGUCCAAGUUCAGCGCUAAUAGAAGCUCUGUCUCAGGUGCCAUCGCCCAGAAUCAUGAACAAGAUGGCUUUCCCCAUUCACGUGUUCAUAUUUUAAAUGAGUUCAUGGCUGAGAAAUUUCAAGAACUUGGAACACCCAGUGCACCUCCCAUUGUGGGGAAUGGAAGAGAAUCAGGCAGCCUAAAUUUAAAUGGUGAAACCAAGGUUAAUUUAGGCACUGAGGUCUCUUCAGAUUUUUCAAUACUGGCACAGAAAGUUGGAGAAAUUCCAGCAGGAGCCAUACCUGUAGAAGGAGAUAUGCAGAUUCCUCUCUGGCAAACAAAUAUUGCCUCCCAUAUGCCAAGCUACAAUACUAGUGUUCAGAGCGCAUGGCAAACAUUUAUUGCUUAUGAUGCAUGUUUCCGAUUGUGCCUCAAUGCAUGGGCAAGAAACUGCAUGGAGGCUCCAGAGUUCCUUCGGGAUGAGUGCAUGGCUCUGCGCAAUGCCUUUGGAUUGCAAACCUUCUUGCUGCAUCCUAGGGGCCAAACUCAAGGAGAGGGAAGGCAUGCUGAUAGUAAAGAAGGAACAAAUGUCAUUAAGGGUCGGAAAAUGAUUGGACAAGUGGAAAUUGAAGUGAAAAGGAUCCGCAUCAUACCUCAAAGAAGAAAGCUGCAGCCUACCUCUUCGUAUCGAACAAUAUAUAUGCAAAUGGGAGCUGAAUAUGUCAAACACAUGUCAGCAAUUUUAAAAAGUCAAAUAAAUUCAUUAAGAGCAACUGCUUCCCCAGUUUCUUCUGAAGACACUCUGUCAUGUAUAUUACAAUUGAAGAGCUCUAGUGAAGAUGCACUCACAGAAUCAGGUUCUAGUGUGUGUUUGAAACCUGGAACUGGUGAUUCUCAUAUAUUCUAUCCUGAGAGUCAAGGAGAUGCACUUUUGAUUGAAGUCCAUAAUAUAAAUAGAAUUAUCCAAGGUCGUGCCACAGUACCAAUAUCAUCACUGGCUGAAUGUCAUCAGGGAGAGAUGACUAGAUGGUGCCCUAUAUACUUAGAAGAUCAUGUCUGUGUAGGGAAGGUUCAAAUCUCAAUCAGUGUUUUUCACUCUUCGGACAAGAUGACUUCCACCAAGAUGUUGCAGGGUGGUCCAGUUGUCGAAACAAUGAUAUAUGAUCUAGUACUUGAGGCAACAAUGCGAGCUCAGCAUUUUCAUUCAAAGAAUUUACAUAUACAUGGUCAUUGGAAGUGGCUUUUGAAUGAAUUUGCUGAUUAUUAUGGAGUAACUGAUGCAUAUACAAAGCUGAGGUAUCUUUCAUUUAUCAUGAAUGCUGCGACACCUACAAAAGAAUGCUUAGAGCUUAUAUAUGAGCUCCUUUUACCCAUCAUGAGAGCUCGAGGUGAAAAAAAUUUAACUAGACAAGAGAGAAGCAUUCUACUGGAUUGUGAAGAUCAGAUCAACAAUUUGUUGGCAACUACUUUUGAGAACUACAAGUCACUAGAUGAGCUUUCACCAACAGGCCUAACUGACAUUUUUGGUCCAAUUCCGGAAUCUGCUGCACCAGCCUUAGUGCCUGCUGUACAGAUAUUCACUCUUCUGCAUGAUAUCCUGUCUCAAGAAGCUCAAAAUAUUUUAAGAAAUCAUUUGCAGAUUGCUGCAGCAAAGCGGUGUAGGCGGCAUAUGGUAGAAACUGAUGAAUUUAUGUCAAGCAACUGUGAUGGACUCUACGCAGACCCUAUGACCUUCUCAACAGCAUAUCUCAAAAUGAAAAUGCUAUGCAUUAAUAUAAGCAACGAGAUUCAAGCAGAUAUCAAGAUUCACAAUCAGCAUAUAUUUCCUAGUUCCAUAGAUCUGCCAAAUAUUGCUGCUUCUUUAUACAGUACUGAGCUCUGCAAAAGACUCCGAGGGUUUCUUGCAGCUUGCCCUCCAUCCAAGCCCUCACAGCAUGUGGCAGAGCUGCUGAUUGCAACUGCUGAUUUUGAAAGAGAUCUUGAGUCAUGGAACAUCAGGCCAGUUCAUGGAGGGGUUGUCUCAAAGGACUUGUUCCAUGACUAUAUCAUGGUUUGGAUCCAAGACACGCGGCUUCAGUUACUUGAUCUUUGCAAGACAGAAAAGUCUUUGCAGGUACCAUGGUUAGAUGUAUCCACAAAUUGUGCAACGUCACCAUUGGUUGAGAACAUAUAUGAACAGAUUAGAAAAGGCAUAAAUGAGUAUGAGGUGGUGAUAAGUAGGUGGCCUCAGUACUUGUUGGCUUUAGAGAAUGCUCUUGCUGACAUCGAACGAGCAGUCUUCAAGGCACUAGAAAAACAAUACAGUGAGAUCCUUGUACCUUUGAGGGAUGGGAUUCCAAAAAUACUCGAGAAGCAAGUGCAGAAGCUCACAAGGCGACAGCCUACUUCUCCUUAUGUCGUACCCAGUCAGCUGGGAAUCUUUCUUAACACUGUUAAAAGAAUCCUUGAAGUGCUACAUCCUGGAGUUGAGGAUUUUUUAAAAUGUUGGGCUGCAUGCUUGACAAUUGAGGAUGGAAAUACAAUUUUUGGAGAGCAAAUGAAUGGAAUCACAGUAACUCUGAGGAAGAAGUACAAGAAGUACAUGCAAGCAAUUGUGGAAAAGCUUGUCAGCAAUGCACAAGCAAACCGAACCACGAGGCUCAAAAGGAUUCUCGAAGAGACAAAAGAAGCAGAAGGUGAACCCGAGAUUCGUGACAGGAUGCAGACCUUGUGUCUGCAGCUAACAGAUUCGAUACACAAUCUACAUCAUGUGUUAGCUAGCAGGAUCUUUGUUGCAAUUUGUCGUGGUUUCUGGGAUAGAAUGGGACAGAUUGUGUUGAGCUUUCUUGAGAGCCGAAAGGAGAACAGAAUAUGGUAUCGAGGAUCCGAUUAUGCUUUAGGGAUUUUAGAUGAUCUGUUUGCAUCUGAGAUGCAGAAACUGCUCGGGAAUUCUCUGCAAGACAAGGACUUGGAUCCACCUCGAGCAGUGAUCGAAGCCCGGUCCAUCCUCUGCUGAAACUUCAACCGCGAUCGGCUAUGGAAAUCCCAAUCAAUCAAAUUGUUCGGCAGCAGAAGAUGAUGCUUUUGUUCAUUAUAUUAAUUGGCUUGUUUCAGGGAUUCCAGAUUCUGAGAACACGGAGCUGAAACGGCAAACGAGCCACUGCCUUCCACUCGCUUUGCAGCUCCGGUGACAACCCACCAACGGGCACAAUCAGGUUUUUGCUUAACCAACAAGUAUCAGAGCCUUGUAAUCACAAAAUUGGUGCCACAAAACACAGUCAUGUUUUUGCUUAACCAACAAGUUCGAAUAAAGGUUGCGUCUGUGGUCGGCUGGCCCUAGGAUG
Non-coding RNA from Musa acuminata subsp. malaccensis (wild Malaysian banana), 3935 nucleotides. The record is from RefSeq and is a predicted model, not a curated record. Lineage: Eukaryota; Viridiplantae; Streptophyta; Magnoliopsida; Zingiberales; Musaceae.